GACGUAGGGCGCGAGCGUUGUCCGGAUUUAUUGGGCGUAAAGAGCUCGUAGGCGGCUUGUUGCGUCGGCUGUGAAAACCCGCGGCUUAACCGCGGGCCUGCAGCCGAUACGGGCAGGCUAGAGUUCGGUAGGGGAGACUGGAAUUCCUGGUGUAGCGGUGAAAUGCGCAGAUAUCAGGAGGAACACCGAUGGCGAAGGCACCUUACUGGUCGGUUACUGACACUGAGCUGCGAAAGCAAGGGGAGCAAACAGG
RNAcentral lists this ribosomal RNA (253 nucleotides) under uncultured bacterium. RNAcentral describes it as "partial 16S ribosomal RNA". It matches the Rfam family "Bacterial small subunit ribosomal RNA", at positions 524 to 776 of the family's 1533-position model. The record is from RNAcentral.